Non-coding RNA from Paramuricea clavata, 176 nucleotides. Lineage: Eukaryota; Metazoa; Cnidaria; Anthozoa; Malacalcyonacea; Plexauridae. The record is from the annotation of a GenBank genome assembly.
CCUAUAGGAAAAAUUCCUAUAAGAAUUUGGGACAAAAUUCCUAUAGGAAUUUUUCCUAUAGGAAUUCCUAUAGGAAUUCCUAUAGGAAAAAUUCCUAUAGGAAAAAUUCCUAUAGGAAUUUUGUCCCAAAUUCUUAUAGGAAUUUUUCCUAUAGGAAUUUUUGCUAUAGGAAUUCC